Molecule: ribosomal RNA, 877 nt
Filed under: uncultured eukaryote
Lineage: Eukaryota
Description: SSU rRNA
Rfam family: Eukaryotic small subunit ribosomal RNA
Source: RNAcentral
CGGUGUUCAACUGGCGUGUCCGCGGGACGUCCUGCCGGUGGGCUUAGCCCGCAAGGGCGGCCCAACUUCAAAUCCCAUCGCGGUGCUCUUCACUGAGUGUCGAGGUGGGCCGGCACGUUUACUUUGAACAAAUUAGAGUGCUUAAAGCAGGCUAAAACUUCGCCUGAAUACUGUGUGCAUGGAAUAAUGGAAUAGGACCUCGGUUCUAUUUUGUUGGUUUUCGGAACCCCGAGGUAAUGAUUAAUAGGAACGGAUGGGGGCAUUCGUAUUGCGACGUUAGAGGUGAAAUUCUUGGAUCGUCGCAAGACGGACAGAAGCGAAAGCAUUUGCCAAAAACGCUUUCAUAGAUCAAGAACGAAAGUUAGAGGUUCGAAGGCGAUCAGAUACCGCCCUAGUUCUAACCAUAAACGAUGCCAGCUAGCGAUCCGUCGACGUUCCUCCGAUGACUCGACGGGCAGCUUCCGGGAAACCAAAGCUUUUGGGUUCCGGGGGAAGUAUGGUUGCAAAGCUGAAACUUAAAGGAAUUGACGGAAGGGCACCACCAGGAGUGGAGCCUGCGGCUUAAUUUGACUCAACACGGGAAACCUCACCAGGCCCGGACACCGGAAGGAUUGACAGAUUGAGAGCUCUUUCUUGAUUCGGUGGGUGGUGGUGCAUGGCCGUUCUUAGUUGGUGGAGCGAUUUGUCUGGUUAAUUCCGAUAACGAACGAGACUCUAGCCUGCUAACUAGGCGUAUUUUCGACAUCUCAAAGGUCCGUCGUCCCGGCCCUCGGGUCGUGGGCGUGCGCGAUUUUUACUGUCGGCGUACUAUCAAUUCUUCUUAGAGGGACAGGUGGCUUCUAGCCGCACGAGAUUGAGCAAUAACAGGUCUGUGAUG